RNAcentral lists this unclassified non-coding RNA (329 nucleotides) under soil metagenome. RNAcentral's name for it is "partial contains 5.8S ribosomal RNA, internal transcribed spacer 2, and large subunit ribosomal RNA". The stretch from base 1 to 120 matches the Rfam family "5.8S ribosomal RNA", at positions 35 to 154 of the family's 154-position model. The record is from RNAcentral.
GAUGAAGAACGCAGCGAAAUGCGAUAAGUAAUGUGAAUUGCAGAAUUCAGUGAAUCAUCGAAUCUUUGAACGCACAUUGCGCCCCCUGGUAUUCCGGGGGGCAUGCCUGUCCGAGCGUCAUUACAACCCUCAAGCUCAGCUUGGUGUUGGGCCCCGCCGCCCCGGCGGGCCCUAAAUUCAGUGGCGGUGCCGUCCGGCUCCGAGCGUAGUAAUUCUUCUCGCUCUGGAGGUCCGGUCGUGUGCUCGCCAGCAACCCCCAAUUUUUUUCAGGUUGACCUCGGAUCAGGUAGGGAUACCCGCUGAACUUAAGCAUAUCAAUAAGCGGAGGA